GAGUUUGAUCAUGGCUCAGGACGAACGCUGGCGGCGUGCUUAACACAUGCAAGUCGAACGGAGCUAUUUAUUUCGGUAGAUAGCUUAGUGGCAAACGGGUGAGUAACGCGUAGGCAACCUGCCCUUAGGAUGGGGACAACGGCCCGAAAGGACCGCUAAUACCGAAUGGACUCUAACUUUCGCAUGAAAGAAAGAGGAAAGAUGGUGCAAGCCAUCGCCGAAGGAAGGGCCUGCGUCUGAUUAGCCAGUUGGUGAGGUAACGGCCCACCAAAGCGACGAUCAGUAGCCGGUCUGAGAGGAUGAACGGCCACAAUGGGACUGAGACACGGCCCAUACUCCUACGGGAGGCAGCAGUGGGGAAUCUUCCGCAAUGGGCGAAAGCCUGACGGAGCAACGCCGCGUGAGUGAAGAAGGUCUUCGGAUCGUAAAGCUCUGUUGUUGGGGACGAAAGGGAAGGGGAGGAAAUGCCCUUUUAAGACG
Molecule: ribosomal RNA, 480 nt
Filed under: Schwartzia sp. canine oral taxon 042
Lineage: Bacteria; Bacillati; Bacillota; Negativicutes; Selenomonadales; Selenomonadaceae
Description: bacterial SSU rRNA
Rfam family: Bacterial small subunit ribosomal RNA
Source: RNAcentral